AGCAGCCGCGGUAAUUCCAGCUCCAAUAGCGUAUAUUAAAGUUGUUGCAGUUAAAAAGCUCGUAGUUGAAUUUCGGGGUCAGUAGGCUGGUCGUGCCACAGGUACGUACUGGUCUCACUGAUUCCUCCUUCCUGAUGAACCGUAAUGCCAUUAAUUUGGUGUUGCGGGGAAACUGGACUGUUACUUUGAAAAAUUAGAGUGUUUAAAGCAGGCUAACGCUUGAAUACAUUAGCAUGGAAUAAUGAAAUAGGACGUUCGAUCCUAUUUUGUUGGUUUCUAGGAUUGACGUAAUGAUUAAUAGGGAUAGUUGGGGGCAUUAGUAUUCAAUUGUCAGAGGUGAAAUUCUUGGAUUUAUUGAAGACUAACUACUGCGAAAGCAUUUGCCAAGGAUGUUUUCAUUAAUCAAGAACGAAAGUUAGGGGAUCGAAGACGAUCAGAUACCGUCGUAGUCUUAACCAUAAACUAUGCCGACUAGGGAUCGGAUGAUGUUAAUUUUUAAUGACUCA
This 506-nucleotide ribosomal RNA is filed under the name uncultured Glomeraceae. RNAcentral's name for it is "SSU rRNA". It matches the Rfam family "Eukaryotic small subunit ribosomal RNA", at positions 569 to 1078 of the family's 1831-position model. The record is from RNAcentral. Lineage: Eukaryota; Fungi; Glomeromycota; Glomeromycetes; Glomerales; Glomeraceae.